RNAcentral lists this ribosomal RNA (305 nucleotides) under uncultured bacterium. RNAcentral's name for it is "partial 16S ribosomal RNA". It matches the Rfam family "Bacterial small subunit ribosomal RNA", at positions 508 to 807 of the family's 1533-position model. The record is from RNAcentral.
ACAGCAGUCGCCGCGGGAAUACAGAGGGUGCGAGCGUUAAUCGGAUUUACUGGGCGUAAAGCGUGCGUAGGCGGCUUUUUAAGUCGGAUGUGAAAUCCCUGAGCUUAACUUAGGAAUUGCAUUCGAUACUGGGAAGCUAGAGUAUGGGAGAGGAUGGUAGAAUUCCAGGUGUAGCGGUGAAAUGCGUAGAGAUCUGGAGGAAUACCGAUGGCGAAGGCAGCCAUCUGGCCUAAUACUGACGCUGAGGUACGAAAGCAUGGGGAGCAAACAGGAUUAGAUACCCGAGUAGUCCCUGUCUCUUAUAC